GGAUUAGAUACCCUGGUAGUCCACGCCGUAAACGAUGAGUGCUAGACGUUGGAAAUUAAUUUUUCAGUGUCGUAGUUAACGCAUUAAGCACUCCGCCUGGGGAGUACGGUCGCAAGGUUAAAACUCAAAGGAAUUGACGGGGGCCCGCACAAGCGGUGGAGCAUGUGGUUUAAUUCGACGCAACGCGAAGAACCUUACCAGCUCUUGACAUUGCUAAGUCGCGAGUUUUAGAGAUAAAACUCUUCAGUUCGGCUGGACUUAGUACAGGUGCUGCAUGGCUGUCGUCAGCUCGUGCCG
This 297-nucleotide ribosomal RNA is filed under the name uncultured bacterium. RNAcentral describes it as "partial 16S ribosomal RNA". It matches the Rfam family "Bacterial small subunit ribosomal RNA", at positions 775 to 1067 of the family's 1533-position model. The record is from RNAcentral.